AGAAGAAUAACAGUGCAAAUCUCCUUUAGCAGAAUGCAACACUGUUCUUGCACGAGAACUGUUUUUCUGCCAAAGGAGAAUUGCCCUGCCAUUCUACA
MicroRNA precursor from Lupinus angustifolius (narrow-leaved blue lupine), 98 nucleotides. It matches the Rfam family "mir-399 microRNA precursor family". Rfam says of the family: mir-399 was identified in both Arabidopsis thaliana and Oryza sativa computationally and was later experimentally verified. mir-399 is thought to target mRNAs coding for a phosphatase transporter. The mature sequence is excised from the 3' arm of the hairpin. NCBI's taxonomy places the organism in Eukaryota, Viridiplantae, Streptophyta, Magnoliopsida, Fabales, Fabaceae. The record is from Rfam.